This 460-nucleotide ribosomal RNA is filed under the name uncultured bacterium. Its description in RNAcentral is "partial 16S ribosomal RNA". It matches the Rfam family "Bacterial small subunit ribosomal RNA", at positions 338 to 795 of the family's 1533-position model. The record is from RNAcentral.
CCUACGGGAGGCUGCAGUGAGGAAUAUUGGUCAAUGGGCGAGAGUCUGAACCAGCCAAGUAGCGUGAAGGAUGACUGCCCUAUGGGUUGUAAACUUCUUUUAUAUGGGAAUAAAAUGUUCCACGUGUGGGAUUUUGUAUGUACCAUAUGAAUAAGGAUCGGCUAACUCCGUGCCAGCAGCCGCGGUAAUACGGAGGAUCCGAGCGUUAUCCGGAUUUAUUGGGUUUAAAGGGAGCGUAGGUGGAUUGUUAAGUCAGUUGUGAAAGUUUGCGGCUCAACCGUAAAAUUGCAGUUGAAACUGGCAGUCUUGAGUACAGUAGAGGUGGGCGGAAUUCGUGGUGUAGCGGUGAAAUGCUUAGAUAUCACGAAGAACUCCGAUUGCGAAGGCAGUUCACUGGACUGCAACUGACACUGAGGCUCGAAAGUGUGGGUAUCAAACAGGAUUAGAUACCCGUGUAGUC